This 76-nucleotide transfer RNA is filed under the name Eggerthella lenta. RNAcentral's name for it is "tRNA-Ala". It matches the Rfam family "tRNA". Rfam says of the family: Transfer RNA (tRNA) molecules are approximately 80 nucleotides in length. Their secondary structure includes four short double-helical elements and three loops (D, anti-codon, and T loops). Further hydrogen bonds mediate the characteristic L-shaped molecular structure. tRNAs have two regions of fundamental functional importance: the anti-codon, which is responsible for specific mRNA codon recognition, and the 3' end, to which the tRNAs corresponding amino acid is attached (by aminoacyl-tRNA synthetases). tRNAs cope with the degeneracy of the genetic code in two manners: having more than one tRNA (with a specific anti-codon) for a particular amino acid; and 'wobble' base-pairing, i.e. permitting non-standard base-pairing at the 3rd anti-codon position. The record is from RNAcentral. RNAcentral also lists the same sequence under 4 other names. Lineage: Bacteria; Bacillati; Actinomycetota; Coriobacteriia; Eggerthellales; Eggerthellaceae.
GGGGAUGUAGCUCAGUUGGGAGAGCAUCACGUUCGCAACGUGGGGGUCGUGGGUUCGAAUCCCAUCAUCUCCACCA